AGAAACUUAGGAUUAUCAACAAACCGAAGGCCUUCAAAGCCUUAAAUAAGAGUUAAACCCUCUUAGUUUCUG
Molecule: transfer RNA, 72 nt
Filed under: Sakesphorus luctuosus
Lineage: Eukaryota; Metazoa; Chordata; Aves; Passeriformes; Thamnophilidae
Description: tRNA-Trp
Rfam family: tRNA
About the family: Transfer RNA (tRNA) molecules are approximately 80 nucleotides in length. Their secondary structure includes four short double-helical elements and three loops (D, anti-codon, and T loops).
Source: RNAcentral